Molecule: transfer RNA, 71 nt
Filed under: Bos taurus (domestic cattle)
Lineage: Eukaryota; Metazoa; Chordata; Mammalia; Artiodactyla; Bovidae
Also listed under: 1 other name
Rfam family: tRNA
About the family: Transfer RNA (tRNA) molecules are approximately 80 nucleotides in length. Their secondary structure includes four short double-helical elements and three loops (D, anti-codon, and T loops).
Source: Rfam by way of RNAcentral
UCCCUGGUGGCUGAGUUGGUAAAGAUCUGCCUGCAAUGCAGGUGACCUAGGUUCCAACCCUGGGUUGGGAA